UAGGGAAUCUUCGGCAAUGGACGGAAGUCUGACCGAGCAACGCCGCGUGAGUGAUGAAGGUUUUCGGAUCGUAAAGCUCUGUUGUUAGAGAAGAACGCUGGUAGGUGUGGACAACCUACCAAGUGACGGAAACUAACCAGAAAGGGACGGCUAACUACGUGUCAGCAGCCGCGCUAAUACGUAGGUCCCGAGCGUUGUCCGGACUUUUUGGGCGUAAAGCGAGCGCAGGCGGUUCUUUAAGUCUGAAGUUAAAGGCAGUGGCUUAACGAAUGUACGCUUUGGAAAUUGGAGGACUUAAGUGCAGAAGGAGAGGGUGGAAAUCCCUGUGUAGCGGUGAAAUGCGUAGGAAUAUGGAAGAACACCGGUCGCGAAAGCGGCUCUCUGGACAGUAACUGACGAUGAGGCUCGAAAGCGUGGGGAGCAAACAGG
This 429-nucleotide ribosomal RNA is filed under the name Bacillota bacterium. RNAcentral describes it as "Firmicutes bacterium partial 16S ribosomal RNA". It matches the Rfam family "Bacterial small subunit ribosomal RNA", at positions 355 to 776 of the family's 1533-position model. The record is from RNAcentral. Lineage: Bacteria; Bacillati; Bacillota.